UUUUAGUAGCUUAUUAGAGCGUAAUAUUGAAGAUAUUAAGGAAAAUGGUUUUUCUAAAGUAU
This 62-nucleotide transfer RNA is filed under the name Taphes sp. UPOL A00537. RNAcentral describes it as "tRNA-Phe". Lineage: Eukaryota; Metazoa; Arthropoda; Insecta; Coleoptera; Lycidae. The record is from RNAcentral.